Molecule: long non-coding RNA, 489 nt
Organism: Vidua chalybeata
Lineage: Eukaryota; Metazoa; Chordata; Aves; Passeriformes; Viduidae
Exons: 4
Source: RefSeq, a predicted model, not a curated record
AGCAUCCUGUUCUUGCAGCUACAGAGGAGAUUGAUUUCCCAUGGUUAGCCGGAGGAGCUGGGACAUGUCCUACCAUCCUGCUCUCCAAAACAGAGAUUGGAAGAGUGCCAGCACCUUGUCAAAUGGUGUUCAUCCGUUUGUCCCUUGGACAGGCCAUCAUUGGAAGAUGUUUUCAGCCAUUCUUGGCUGCAGGACAUACAUCUUCUCCAAGAGAUGACAAAGAUCCAUCCCUCUGCACAGUAGGAUCUGGCAAAUUCUAGCUGGGGCCUGGACUGCAUUGGGAAGUGUUGUGACUGUCUGCAGAAUGGAUUCACUGCCAGUGCCACCCUGGCAGGUACACCUCCUUCCAGACGGAUGAGGACAUCAUCUGGGAUCAGCUCCUCUUCCAGCAGCAAGUCUCUUAAGAUAUGUUCUACCACAGUGUGCUAUUCAUAGUGCACCAAUAGUGUGAAAAGUUUUCCCUUUGAGACCAAUCAUAUUUCACCUUAG